Gossypium raimondii (Peruvian cotton) is the source of this 107-nucleotide non-coding RNA. The record is from Rfam. NCBI's taxonomy places the organism in Eukaryota, Viridiplantae, Streptophyta, Magnoliopsida, Malvales, Malvaceae.
AUUCCGUGAUGAGGGCACUUAGGUAAUAAUUCUUUGUACCUUUCCCAUGCCUCAUAUAAGGACUCAUCAUCCAUUUGUUGGAAAGCAGUGAUAUCGUUCCUCAACUU